CCUACGGGUGGCAGCAGUGGGGAAUAUUGGGCAAUGGGCGCAAGCCUGACCCAGCAACGCCGCUUGAAGGAAGAAGGCUUUCGGGUUGUAAACUUCUUUUCUCAGGGACGAAGCAAGUGACGGUACCUGAGGAAUAAGCCACGGCUAACUACGUGCCAGCAGCCGCGGUAAUACGUAGGUGGCAAGCGUUAUCCGGAUUUACUGGGUGUAAAGGGCGUGUAGGCGGGAAAGCAAGUCAGAUGUGAAAACCAUGGGCUCAACCUGUGGCCUGCAUUUGAAACUGUUUUUCUUGAGUACUGGGGAGGCAGACGGAAAUCCUAGUGUAGCGGUGAAAUGCGUAGAUAUUAGGAGGAACACCAGUGGCGAAGGCGGUCUGCUGGACAGCAACUGACGCUGAGGCGCGAAAGCGUGGGGAGCAAACAGGAUUAGAUACCCCAGUAGUC
Molecule: ribosomal RNA, 443 nt
Filed under: uncultured bacterium
Lineage: Bacteria
Description: partial 16S ribosomal RNA
Rfam family: Bacterial small subunit ribosomal RNA
Source: RNAcentral